CCAAUAGCGUAUAUUAAAGUUGUUGCAGUUAAAAAGCUCGUAGUUGAAUUUCGGGGUCAGUAGGUUGGUCAUGCCACCGGUAUGCACUGGUCUCACUGAUUCCUCCUUCCUUAUGAACCGUAAUGCCAUUAAUUUGGUGUUGCGGGGAAUCUGGACUGUUACUUUGAAAAAAUUAGAGUGUUUAAAGCAGGCUAACGCUUGAAUACAUUAGCAUGGAAUAAUGAAAUAGGACGUUCGAUCUUAUUUUGUUGGUUUCUAGGAUUGACGUAAUGAUUAAUAGGGAUAGUUGGGGGCAUUAGUAUUCAAUUGUCAGAGGUGAAAUUCUUGGAUUUAUUGAAGACUAACUACUGCGAAAGCAUUUGCCAAGGAUGUUUUCAUUAAUCAAGAACGAAAGUUAGGGGAUCGAAGACGAUCAGAUACCGUCGUAGUCUUAACCAUAAACUAUGCCGACUAGGGAUCGGAUGAUGUUAAUUUUUUAAUGACUCAUUCGGCGCCUUACG
RNAcentral lists this ribosomal RNA (500 nucleotides) under uncultured Glomus. Its description in RNAcentral is "SSU rRNA". It matches the Rfam family "Eukaryotic small subunit ribosomal RNA", at positions 591 to 1092 of the family's 1831-position model. The record is from RNAcentral. Lineage: Eukaryota; Fungi; Glomeromycota; Glomeromycetes; Glomerales; Glomeraceae.